GUGAGUCACGGUGUACUGAAAUAAUUGCUGGGACGGUCGUUGGAACGAAAAGUGCUGACUGAUGGUAAGUGCGCGCAAGUGGAUAGAACGAAAUCAUCUUGCUGAUCACGUUCCAAGUGAAUGAAUCGGACGGAGCUGUCGAGCCUGUAUUAUGUAUAAUGUACGUACAUACAUGCAGUUUUCGUGUAGAAGACGCGUACGUGUUCGUAAUCAGUGAUUCCAACGAGGAAUGUCGCGACACACCUGAAUAGGCGAGGUAGGUAGAAUCUACGAUUCUCUCUUCUCAGUGGUAUGUAACGCGAGCUCGAUACGUAUCGUCCAGUUCUCGAUAUUCCGAUUCCGUUCUAACUCUUUCUCAGCUUUUACUUUAGAUACAACAGCGGAGAAUGUCUGGAUAAUGAACUGGUUCUAAUAUCGCAUACGAUAUUGGGACGUUUCGCCAGCAAUUUUUCGUCUCUUGUUGCGCACCAGGAAUUUCGAAGAAAAAAUUGACCGACGAUCGUGAAAAUUUAUAAUUAACGAUUCGAAACGGUAAUACCCACGUAAUAAUCGGUCGCAUUUAAUUCGACGAUAUUACGAUAAAAGCGUUUAGAUGCUUUAUUAUUCGAAGAAUUAUCCCAACAGCUUGCACCAUGAUUAUACGUAAUCCUAAUAAUCGAGCGUUCAAUCGUACUAUUUCAGAAAAAUUUGCAAAUUGAAUUGAAUAUCUUUCUUUGCCUUCUCUUACGUCUUUCAUUCUUACGCUCGAACGAACGUUCUUCUCUAGAACCAGGCUUCUCUAUUAGGCUACGUUGAACUGUAUUUACAAUGUGAAUACGGUAGGAAGAUGACGCGAGUUGUACGAUGAUACGCGAAGAAAGAGGAAACAGACGGCAAGAAACUGUCGAUGCGAAGGGGGAAAAACAAAAGCAGGCGUGCAACGAGAGCAAUGUCGUUAACAGCUGGUACGGUUGAAAGUCUAGGAGACAGACAGACAGGCAUCGAGCCUUUAAAGUCGAACCAGUAUCCGAAGGAGAGACAACGUCGCCUUGUUGCGCAAACACUCUACUUUCACUAGCCACGCACAAGCGAAACUCUGGCUCGUGUAUGCGCCCGUGCCCUUGCACGAUCCACGCUGCGAAUCGAUCGAAAUGUGCCACGAAACGAUUUAUAUAACUUGUUAACGAUAAUUCUUUCCACGGUGUACAAAAACAGGCUCUAUAAGAGGACUCGGAAAUUUAAUUAUUUUCACCAGCCUUACGUAGCAGAUUAUACACCCUUGUAUCGAGACCUAGGCGGAAACGGGCCGAGAAAUUGAAUCGUCACUAACUGUGUGACAGAUGAACACGGAGGACAAGAACACGCUCUAUGCAUCUCUGUCUGUCUCUCAAGAACGACAACUUCCUUCAUCGUCCAUGUUGAUUUUUCACGUUGUCUGUUGAUUAGACACGACUCAAUUUUCCAACUCUCAAUUUUCAGUUUUCCCUAGCAAGUGUCGAGAGAGCUGUUUGUACGAUCGUGGUAUUGCGCAGCAAACAUCUAGAAAGGUUCGAAGGUUCGAAGAACUGCGAAGAGAACACGUGCCGACACAUCGCGAGAAACUUUUCAAACUUGCCAACUUUCCAUACGAUUAAACAUUUUCGAUCUAAUGUGUAUAUAUAUGCUGUGGUAUAUGCUGCGAUACAAUAUACAAUAUAUGCUAUCAAGGAUAUUUUUGGCCAGAAAAUUCUGUAACUGAUAAUUUAUGCAAAAACAUCCUGCAAAUUCUGCGUUCCUUCCAAAUUAAGUUUUCGUAUAGAGGAAAUUUAUUUUACAUAUUAAACGUAAAAGCGCUUCAAGUUUAACAUAGGAUUACAAAUAUUCAAAAUAUAUACAUAUGUUUAUACCUUUGUGCAUAUAAAUGGCGAAAAUACAUAUACCAUUCGAUCCAACUAAUAAAACUUUCGUUUUAUAAACAGCUGGGAAAUCAUUUUCAUUUUCAUUUUCAUUUUCAUUUUCAUUUGAGAUCGGCAUAUCGGCAGUAAACCGUGAAAUUUGGCAGUAUUAGUUUUCUUUUUUUCUUUCUUUUUUCCUUUCUCUAGAUUUCGGUAUAGGACAUGGAAAAUUGUUUACCGAGGACGAAAUAUUACAAAUCAUAUUACUAACAUCGAAGCAAGAAAUGUAGUCGGCGUUAAAAAUUUCAUAUAGGUAUUUUACAUCAGAGCCGAAAUAUUGCGUGGGAUUUAUUACACAAUUCAGAAAAACGUGGUAAACAGGAGGAUACUGGUCAAUCGAAAACAAUAAAUUCUUACCAUGAACGUGUGACUUUAAGAAAAGCGUAAAAUUCAUUUUCGGCAGUAUGACACACCGUUCCUCAUAUACAUACAUAUAUAUAUAUAUAUAUGUAUGUAUGCAUGUAUGUAUGUAUGUAUGUAUGU
Bombus pyrosoma is the source of this 2396-nucleotide RNA transcript. RefSeq lists it as uncharacterized. The record is from RefSeq and is a predicted model, not a curated record. NCBI's taxonomy places the organism in Eukaryota, Metazoa, Arthropoda, Insecta, Hymenoptera, Apidae. The transcript has 4 exons.